This 253-nucleotide ribosomal RNA is filed under the name uncultured bacterium. Its description in RNAcentral is "partial 16S ribosomal RNA". It matches the Rfam family "Bacterial small subunit ribosomal RNA", at positions 524 to 776 of the family's 1533-position model. The record is from RNAcentral.
UACGUAGGGUGCGAGCGUUGUCCGGAAUUAUUGGGCGUAAAGAGCUUGUAGGCGGUUUGUCGCGUCUGCUGUGAAAAUCCGGGGCUCAACCCCGGACUUGCAGUGGGUACGGGCAGACUAGAGUGUGGUAGGGGAGACUGGAAUUCCUGGUGUAGCGGUGAAAUGCGCAGAUAUCAGGAGGAACACCGAUGGCGAAGGCAGGUCUCUGGGCCACUACUGACGCUGAGACGCGAAAGCGUGGGGAGCAAACAGG